Molecule: long non-coding RNA, 1368 nt
Organism: Gallus gallus (chicken)
Lineage: Eukaryota; Metazoa; Chordata; Aves; Galliformes; Phasianidae
Source: Ensembl
CUCUCUUCACACUUCCUCUACGCAGAUGGCACCAGCAGAUUCCUCUUUGGAGGCCUUUCAGCAAGUGACCCUGAAGCAACAGAAACCCACUUCCCACUGAUGCAUGUCUGCUGUUUUCCCAUGAAAAGCAAAUGGUAUUUUUCCUUCAACUAUAGUGGCUCCAGAAAUGUCAGUAUAGGAAGCCUUCAGCCAGCGGACUGCAUUUCUUUUCAAAAGCAUAAGGUUAGUGAGUGUGGUGAGAAUCAUUAGGAGCUUGUAAGUCUGAAGGAACCUCAGAUCCAUCUGCUGGACUAUUUGCUCAAUGACUCACAGGAGGGUGAAAGGUUGAAUUACCUUCAUUCAAGAAAAUAGAUAGUUCUUUCCAAGACUCCAUGCAUCGAAGUGAUUGAUCCCUUCUACAAACAGACCCUGAAAUUGGCUUCCAAGACAUUAUAAAUUCCCCAGAGGAUGAAGACAUAAUCUGAAUGUGCAGAAGACUUCGAAGACUUCUCUUGCCUGCAGGUGGGGAAAUGUUUUUCUGAAUCCCACUGACACUAAGUAGAAAUGCAGUAAGCAGUACGGUACUACAUUGAACAAUUAUGGAAGUAGUAGCUGAAAAUGCAGAAAAAUAUAUGAUUCAUUCUGACUGCUUGGCUGAGCAUGGCUAAAAGCUUUGCCUGAUCCUAUGCAGCCAGCGCUGCAGACUGGAUCAAAAUUCUAGUUUUAUCAAAACUAAUGAAUAUCUGAAUAAAUUAAUUAUAUUUUAUUUUAUGAAUAUGUAAUUUUUUACAAAUAAGUAAACUCUGAUUUUCAAAAAUCUUUUUUUCCUCACGUUGUUUGUGAAUUUCCAAUGUUUUUAAGCAAUAGAAAUACAGUAACAUUGCUAAGUAUGCUCCUUGUCUGUAGUUAGAUCACAGCUAUAUUUGAAUCAUAGUUACGUAUUUCCAUUUUUUUUCCUGAGCUGUAUUUUAAGUCACUGUCUUUUAAAUAAAAACCUUCAUCUUUAACUUAUAUUGCAGUGUAGAACUGCUGUGCUAAUCAAUUAAUAACAUUUGUGAGCAUCAGGCAAAUUGUUUUUGUUACACUGAUCCUUAUCACAAUCAUUGUUCUGUAUGUGUACCUGAUUAUUAUCAACCUGCAAGACUUGUCUGUGCAGAGAGCAGGAUGAUAUAUGGUAGAACCUUAGCAGGCUGCAGUAACGAAGACUGAAAUGAGAUCUGUGAGCACUGCUGGAGCAGCAUACUACAGAAGAGAGAGCAGCUCAAAUGUCACACUGAGAUUCCUCCAUGUAACCUUAAAUGCUCGAGAGAUUCAGGAGACUAUCUUAUGUAUCUGCACAAACUGACACAGUGAAAAUCUCAGCAAACAGUAAUUUUCUGGAUUUACUGC